Molecule: ribosomal RNA, 490 nt
Filed under: uncultured Pseudoalteromonas sp.
Lineage: Bacteria; Pseudomonadati; Pseudomonadota; Gammaproteobacteria; Alteromonadales; Pseudoalteromonadaceae
Description: bacterial SSU rRNA
Rfam family: Bacterial small subunit ribosomal RNA
Source: RNAcentral
GCUGGCGGCAGGCCUAACACAUGCAAGUCGAGCGGUAACAUUUCUAGCUUGCUAGAAGAUGACGAGCGGCGGACGGGUGAGUAAUGCUUGGGAACAUGCCUUGAGGUGGGGGACAACAGUUGGAAACGACUGCUAAUACCGCAUAAUGUCUACGGACCAAAGGGGGCUUUUAGCUCCCGCCUUUAGAUUGGCCCAAGUGGGAUUAGUUAGUUGGUGAGGUAAUGGCUCACCAAGGCAACGAUCCCUAGCUGGUUUGAGAGGAUGAUCAGCCACACUGGGACUGAGACACGGCCCAGACUCCUACGGGAGGCAGCAGUGGGGAAUAUUGCACAAUGGGCGAAAGCCUGAUGCAGCCAUGCCGCGUGUGUGAAGAAGGCCUUCGGGUUGUAAAGCACUUUCAGUCAGGAGGAAAGGUUAGUAGUUAAUACCUGCUAUCUGUGACGUUACUGACAGAAGAAGCACCGGCUAACUCCGUGCCAUCAGCCGCGGU